Molecule: long non-coding RNA, 6899 nt
Organism: Passer domesticus (house sparrow)
Lineage: Eukaryota; Metazoa; Chordata; Aves; Passeriformes; Passeridae
Exons: 2
Source: RefSeq, a predicted model, not a curated record
GCCGAGCCGAGGCCCCGGAGUGCGCGGUGGCCGCUCUCGGCCCACGUGGCCUCCUGGGCCCAGUGCGCGCGUUGGGCCGUUGUCCCAGCUGGCGCAGCGACUCAGAGAAUCCAUUGGGUUGGAAAGGACCUCUGAGAUCGCCGAUUCAAAUCUGUGACCAAGCAUCAUCUAGACACAGCACUGAGUGCCACGUCUAGCCUUUCCUUAAACACUUCAGGGGAGGUUACCACUAAGUGUGAUAAUCGGAUGCUGUCCUGACAGGCUGUGUCUGCUCCUUCCAGGUGUAUACAGUCACAGGGUUGGAAGGGACCUCGAGAUCAUGUAAUCCAUCCCUUCCCGUGCCAAGGCAGGGUCACCCAGAGCAGGUUACACUGGGACAAGUCCAGCUGAGGCUAUGUCUUGAUAUUUCUGCUGUGGAGCCUGAUUUUUGUGAGAUGCUAAACUAGUAACCAGCUGAGAUCUUCAACUUCACUGGAUGUCUGGCUGUUUUAAGAGCUCACACUCACAUGAGUAACCUUUUCAAAAACAUGAAAAUGAGACACUACUCUAAGCACUCUAAUUUAAUAAAAUUAUAUACCAGUGCAUUCAAUUAAAGGUAAAAGAUAUUUUGAUAAGUAUCUUUCAUACCAUCUAGCAAAUAAGGGUACUUUAAUUUAGCUUGUACAUGGAAGGGUUUUAUGAUUUGUGUUUCAUACAAUUUUAAAUUUUAUAUGAACAAGGUGAAAACUAAAUAGAGGUGUCAGGUACUGAGUAGUUUCACCAGAUAAUUGUUGCCAGAGUGAUGUGACCUAAUUCCAUGGCAAAGCUUUAGCAACAUUUGUGUCAUCUAUGUUGCUAAAGAAAACAUUGAUCUUAAGCUCUUUAAUUCUGGAUAUUUUCUGUUGUGUCAAUUGCCACUUGCAUUGUUAUGUGCUUGGCAACCUUAGUAGGGUGAGCUGUGGUGAAUGUGGCAAAGUUGGAGGAUAAAAGCACUGGGCUGUUGAUUUCCUUCCUGAAAUCAUGGAACUUUAUGUGUCUAUCUGUGUGGAAAGAACAAAUCGAGGCCUUGGCAGAAAUUUGAAAUAUAAAUAUCACUAUACAUCUUCCCUGAGCCAGUAUAUUUGCAAAUAUUUGAAUCUAUGGCAACUUUUCAGUCUAUAGGAAAAUCAUCAAUUUCUUUGUUAAAGGGAAGUGGCUCUUUUGUUCCAGGAAGAUUAUUUAAUCACUUCAAUAUGUUUAUGCUUCUAUCUAUGAAGCUAAUUUGCAGAGGUGCCGACUUAGAUCAGUCAGGACCUAAUGGAAUCUGUUUCAAAUAAUUUCAAGUAAAUUUCUGCAAAUUUGUAUCCCAACAUUUUAUCAAUUUCAUCUUUAUCAAAGAAUGCAUGUUUAAUCUUUAUUUUUGAUUAAGUCCUUUUUUGAACUUAACAAUUAUUUGCUGCAAGACAAUCACUAAAACGUUCAGUCCCUUCAUAGAAUUUUUGUAACUAAUGACAGCAUUAAACAACCUGCCAAAUUUAAAUAUGAAAGCGGUGUUGAUUAAAAGUGGUUGUGUUGCUAAAAGGCUUGUGUUUUGUGCUUAGAUGCAGAAUAUGCUGCAUAUCUCAAAGUAAUUUUAUACCUUACUAUGUGGAUAAUGAAUUAGAGGAAUGUAAUCAGUGUUUUUUUACUAAAAGAUGGUUGGACAGAAGUUGCUCGUGUACCUUGAAAAUUAUCACUUUUUGUUGCCAGAUUCAAAACUUCAACACCUCUGAAAAAAAUAACUGGUGUCAUAUGCAGGAAUUUCUACUGCAAUUUUGUAUGUUGAGAAUGGUAAUGGAAGACUAUUCCUAUGAAUUACUUUUUUCUCAUACUAGAUUUAUAAUACUUUUAAGUUUUUUAUUUUUGACAUUGAAAAUAAAAUUAGAGCUACAUUGCUAUCCCUCAGAACUUUUCCAAAUUACAGAAUCUUACACAGUUUGGAUAUUUCUUAUAAAGUCAUAAUUAGCCUGUCUAGUAAUUUCAUCUAACAUUGCCCAUUUUUUAUUUAAGUCCAUUUCAUAGGUUGUUUGCAUUUCCAAAUGGUUUUCAGGUACAUUCUGCCAUUUGUUGCACACCUGAAACAUACCAUCAUAAGUCAUUCCUGUCAGCCACGUUGUGCAGAACAUGGUAGCUAUCCAUCUUAUGAAGCAGUGUGAAGACAAUCCAAAAUACUGAAGUAAAGUGUGUAACAGCAAUCAAACUGAUUCAGACCAUGGGUAUGCUUACUGGUCCAGAUAGUGUAAGUUAAUGCCUCAACAAGUGCAAUAAGAAGUGUAAGCACUUGUUACUUGUUUAACUUUGCCAACCUGUGGCCAUUUUCAAUGACUUUCUGAACUCUGCAUGAUUAAUCUUUUUAUCUACAUCAGAGAAUCUUUUCCAAGAACUUCACUAGUCACCCCGUAAACUCAUGUAUAAAUAUUGCAUUUGCAAAAUCUUUCAUCAAGAAAAGCCAGCUGUCUGGAAGCUAUUAUAUGAGGAAACAAGCCCUUUUGCUUUCUUGGAAGUCUAGUCCCAUUGACUUUUGUGAUUUUAAUUCUCAUGAUGCGGGGGAAAAAGGCAAAGGAGGUAUGUAUAGAUGGUGAUGUUAAAGGAUAGGCAACUUAGCCAGAUGUAGAUGCUGUAAUGUCCAAUUGCUGGCCAGGCAUGAUUCUUUUGGAUACUAUUGUAAAUAUACAGAAGACAAAACAAUUAUACCUAAGUAAGUUAGUUAAUUAGUUAUUACUUACUUCGGGUAAACAGUAGGACAUAUAACAAUCUUUCUCUUCUUUUAUCUUAUAGCCAUAAGAAGUCAUUAGCUUGUCUCUUGAGUAUUUUCUGCUUAUCCUCUUUAUGGAGUGAAUAUUCCCUCUUACUUGGUAAUCUGCAUACCUUUACUCCAGCUAUAUGUGGUACAUGUUCUACAAAUGCCUACUAAUAUUUUGGGAUUUGUAUAUGGUUAGGUGAAGUUGUCUUGGUCCACAGGGUCAGUCCCUUGGAGUUUGCAGGAACAGUAUAUGGGGUUUUUUAUGUUGACUUUUCUUCAGCUAGCAUCCUGGAAUGUCACAGAAUCACAGUCCUAAAAUAUUUUGGAUUGCAAUGGAUUUUUAUAAAGGUCAUCUAGUCCAACACCCCUGCAGUGAGCAGGGACAUCUCUUAUUAGAUCAAGUUGUUUGAAUACGUAUCCAACAUGACCUUGAAUGGUUCCAGGGGCAUUCACCAGCUCUCUAGGAAACCUUUGGCAGUAUUUACCACCCUCGCUGUAAAAUAUUUCUUCCAAAUAUCUAGUCUGUAUACCCUUCUGAAGCUUCAAACCAUUGUUCUGUAGUUACAGUCCCUACUAAAAGGUCUGUUUUAAUCUUCCUUCUAAGUCCCCUUUAAAAGUAGGGAAAGGGCGCAGUAAGGUUUCCCAAGAGCCUUCUCUUUUCCAGGCUGUUCAACCACAAAUCUCUCAGCCUUUCAUUAUAGUAGAGGUGCUCCAGCCCUAAGUCUUGUGGCCCUCGUCUGAACUUCUUCAACAGGUUCAUGUCUUUCCUGUAUCAAGGAUUCCAAAGCUGGAUGCUGUACUUCAGGUGGAGUCUCACUAGAGCAGGUAAAGGGGACAGUCACCUCCCUUGUUAAUCAUUCAGAUACAUCAGGAUUUCUCUAUCAGUCUGUACCAGAUAGUUGAGGAACUGAGACUCCUUUUUCUUUGCUGACUCAAAUGCCUGCGCAAUCUGCAUGUUUGACCUUGGAGAUGGGAACAGAUGGCCUCACUGCUUUGCUGGACAGGAGACUCGGUACACUUUAGGGUUGCCUAGGCACUCUGUUAUACUGCUAUGCUGCUCUGCAAGUCCUGGGGUUUGAUGAGGAUAACUUGUUUUCCACAUAGAAAAGACUUGAUUUUCUUAAAUUAUAUUUUGUCCUUGCUGUUGGGCCUCUCAUCAGUGGCUGAUGAGACAUCACUGGUGCACCAUCAGUUUGGUGUCUUCCUUGUACUGUGAAUUGUCUGUCUGCACAGUUUCACAAGAAGUGCACUUUCCUGGAUUCCCUGUGGGUUUCUGUGUGGCCCACUGUUAAUAAUUCCAAGACACAAGUCAUGGGCAAUAGCAUCAUUUGCAGGAAUGAGGAAGGGGCAAGAUUGCAAGAACUUGCCUAUUCUUGCAAGAACAUAAAGGCUGAUCAUAAAGAGUAUGUGUAAAACUGGUGACACCUAGCCUUUUAUGUGCAUGAAAGCAUUGCAGGUUAUGGCAUAAACUGUGCAUACUAAGAGCUUUCAUACUGAGAGCUUUCUGCUCCUACCUCUGUGCUUGCUAUACAUGGAUGGACUUAAGUGGGUGCAGCCUAGUCAGUGAGUUGAGGCUCUUGCAUCUGCAUUAGCAAAUAAAACAUGUUAUGUGAACUCAUGGAAUGCACCUUUCAUGGGUUACAUUGGAAAGUAUUUUGAAAAGCUGUGUGAAGUUUGUAUGUACGAAAAUGGCAUCAUGAAGGGAAUCAAAGCAUGAUAACUGAGUGUUAUAGAUUUGCCUUGACAGUGUUUGAGCUUUAGUAUGAGCUAACCAUAUCCAUGGAUAAUUCAGAAACCUGACAUGUUAAUCAGUAUUUUCAGUAUAAUUAGUAACUUAGAGAUAAAAAGGGAGGGUUUAUGACCUUGGAAGAAGAAGUAGGUAACUCAGGAAGAGUACAAAGAUGUCAUUAGCACAUGUAGAGAGAAAAUUAGAAAGGCAAAAGCUCAACUAGAACUCAAUCUGGCCACUGCUGUGAAAGAUAAUAAAAAGUGGUUUUAUAAAUACCUCAACAAAAGGAAGGCCAAGGAAAAUCUCCAUCCUUUAUUGGGUGUGGAAAACAUUAUCAUCAAGGAUGAGGAAAAGGCUGAGGUCCUCGAUGUUUUCUUUGCCUCAAUCUUUAACAGUAAGACUCAUCCUAAGGGUAACUAGCCUCCUAGCUGGGGUACAGGGAGAAUAGAUCUUCUGAAAUACACAGUUAAGUACUGAGCCAUUUAGACACUCAGAAUUCUAUGGGAUGGAAUUCAUUCAAGGGUACUGAGGGAGCAAGCACCAAGAAAAUCUCCACCAUUAAUCCUGGCUAACUGGGAAGGUCUCAGACCUGGAGGCUGCCCAACAUGAUGCUUACUCACAGAAAAGGUCAGAAGGAGGAUCUGGGGAACUUCAGGCUGGUAAGUCUGACCUCACUGCUGGGGCGGGUUUUGGAACAGAUUGUCUUGAUUGUAAUCACUCAGCAUAUAUAGGACAAUCAUGGGAUCAGGGCUAGCCAGCAGAGAUUUAGGAAAGGCAGGUCCUACUUGGUCAACACAAUCCCCUUUUAAGACCAGGUGACCUGCCUAAAGGAUGAUGGAAGAGCUGUUGGUAUUGUCUACCUGAACUUUAGCAAAGCUUUCAAUAUUGUUGCCCAUAGCAUUUUUCUGUAAAAGCUGGCAUCCCAUGUCUUGUACUGGUACACAAUUUAUUGGGUUAAAAUCUGGCCGGGUGGCCAGGCCCAGAGAGUGGUGGUGCAAGGAGUUACAUCCAGCUGGUGGCCAGUGGCCAGUGGCGUUCCCCAGGGCUCAGUACUAGAGCCACUGCAUAGUAUCUUCAUCGGUGACUAGUACAAGGGUGUCAAGUGUACCCUUGCUAAGUUUGUGGACAGCACCAAGUUGAGUGGGAAUGUUGAUCUGGUGGAGAGUGGGAAGAUUUUUCAGAGCAAUCUGGACAGGCUGGAUCAGGGGCCAAGGUUCCCAGGUCCUGCCCUGGGGUCACAGCAACCCCAGGCAGUGGCACAGGCUGGGGCAGAGUGGCUGCAAAGCUGCCACAGGAAAAGGAGCUGGGGGUGCUGCUGACAGCAGCUGAACAUGAGCCAGCAGGGCCCAGGUGGCCAAGAAGGCCAAUGGCAUCCUGGCCUGGACCAGCAAUGGUGUGGCCAGCAGGAGCAGGGCAGGGAUUGUUCCCUGUACUCAGCACUGGGGAGGCUGCACCUCAAAUCCUGCGGUCAGUUUUGAGCCACUCACUCCAAGAAAGACAUUGAGGUUGCUGGAGCAUGUCCAGAGAAGGGCAGUAGAGCUGGGGAAGUGUCUGGAGCACAGGUCCUAUAAGGAGCAACUGAUGGAGCUUGGGUUGUUUUGGAUGGAGAAAAGGAGGCUCAAGGGAGACCUGAUCACUCUACAACUGCCUGAAAGGAGGGUAUAGCAAGGUGGGGUUGGCCUAUUCUCCCAGGCAACAAGUGACUGGACAAGAGGAAUGGCCUCAAACUGUGCCAGGAGAGGUUCAAGUUGGACAUCAGGAGGACUUCCUUUACUGAAAGGGUUGUUAAGCAUUGGAAUGGCUGCCCAGGGACUUGGUGAAGUCACCAUUACUGGAGGAUUUCAAGAAAUUUCUGGAUGUGGCGCUAAUUUCUAUGGUUGACUUGACGAGGUGGUGAUGGGUCAAAGGUUGGACUCAAUGAUCUUAGAAAUCUUUUCCAUUCUAAUGAUUCUGUACUCAUGUGAUUUAAAGUUGCUUAGAGUUUGGAUGCACUGUGUUUUUAAUAAACAGGUAUCAUACAAAGAAGUGUCAGUAAUUAUUUUUAAAAUUAUAUUGAGAUAUGUUCCUAGAGCACUUCUGCCUGUUAUAAUGAGUAAAAAUAACCCAGGUGCAGCACAAGACAUUUGUUGUUUUUCAGUAUCUGAUAUUAAAAAUGUGAAAUACUUUUAGUAGUAAUAUAUUAUGCCACAUUGUAUCUGAAAUAAAGAAAUACAGAUUUGUUUGGUUGCCACACAAAGUCUGAGAUUAUAUAAGCCACUGAGAAGCUGUAUUUCUUUUCAGAAAAUUACAAAAAAUUUCAUCCCUAAUCCUGAAAUAAAUUCUUUUUAUUAUAGAAUUCAGAGUUCUCAGUUGUUUAACCAGAGUUGGGAUAGUCAUUUAAACAAUUGCUGCAAAAGUAAUUUUGCUCCACAUUUUUAAUGUCAGGGAAUG